GAUGAACGCUGGCGGCGUGCUUAACACAUGCAAGUCGAACGGUGAAGGCGGAGCUUGCUCUGCUGGAUCAGUGGCGAACGGGUGAGUAACACGUGAGCAAUCUGCCCCUGACUCUGGGAUAAGCGCUGGAAACGGCGUCUAAUACUGGAUACGAGCUGCGAAGGCAUCUUCAGCAGCUGGAAAGAAUUUCGGUCAGGGAUGAGCUCGCGGCCUAUCAGCUUGUUGGUGAGGUAAUGGCUCACCAAGGCGUCGACGGGUAGCCGGCCUGGGAGGGUGACCGGACACACUGGGACUGAGACACGACCCAGACUCCUACGGGAGGCAGCAGUGGGGAAUAUUGCACAAUGGGCGAAAGCCUGAUGCAGCAACGCCGCGUGAGGGACGACGGCCUUCGGGUUGUAAACCUCUUUUAGCAGGGAAGAAGCGAAAGUGACGGUACCUGCAGAAAAAGCGCCGGCUAACUACGUG
RNAcentral lists this ribosomal RNA (468 nucleotides) under uncultured bacterium. Its description in RNAcentral is "partial 16S ribosomal RNA". It matches the Rfam family "Bacterial small subunit ribosomal RNA", at positions 28 to 507 of the family's 1533-position model. The record is from RNAcentral.